RNAcentral lists this long non-coding RNA (250 nucleotides) under Trifolium pratense (red clover). RNAcentral's name for it is "long non-coding RNA (TPRA_LNC001159)". The record is from RNAcentral. Lineage: Eukaryota; Viridiplantae; Streptophyta; Magnoliopsida; Fabales; Fabaceae.
AAUUUUCCAACCCAAACCCUAAUUCUCUCUUCAAAACCCUAAUGUCUUAUGUCAUGUGUAAUAUCAUAUGGUUACAAUCAUUUAGUCUGCAUCAAUUUUAUUGGACCUCUACAAGCACCAAUUGGAGAGUCCAAGUUUCUUUCUCUUUCUUCUUACUCUAUUGUCUCACCAUCCUCACACUUUCAUCUCUCUUUUCUCAAUCUCUCUUUCUCUCUGACCUCCCCAUCUCAUCCUUAUGCUCUCAUCUCUC